This 521-nucleotide ribosomal RNA is filed under the name uncultured Glomus. RNAcentral describes it as "SSU rRNA". It matches the Rfam family "Eukaryotic small subunit ribosomal RNA", at positions 569 to 1092 of the family's 1831-position model. The record is from RNAcentral. Lineage: Eukaryota; Fungi; Glomeromycota; Glomeromycetes; Glomerales; Glomeraceae.
AGCAGCCGCGGUAAUUCCAGCUCCAAUAGCGUAUAUUAAAGUUGUUGCAGUUAAAAAGCUCGUAGUUAAAUUUCGGGGUUAGUAAGUUGGUCAUGCCUUCGGUAUGUACUGGCUUUACUGAUUCCUCCUUCUUGACGAACCGUGAUGUCAUUAAUUUGGUGUUGCGGGAAAUCAGGACUGUUACUUUGAAAAAAUUAGAGUGUUUAAAGCAGGCUAACGCUUGAAUACAUUAGCAUGGAAUAAUGAAAUAGGACGUUAAUCCUAUUUUGUUGGUUUCUAGGAUCGACGUAAUGAUUAAUAGGGAUAGUUGGGGGCAUUAGUAUUCAAUUGUCAGAGGUGAAAUUCUUGGAUUUAUUGAAGACUAACUACUGCGAAAGCAUUUGCCAAGGAUGUUUUCAUUAAUCAAGAACGAAAGUUAGGGGAUCGAAGACGAUCAGAUACCGUCGUAGUCUUAACCAUAAACUAUGCCGACUAGGGAUCGGAUGAUGUUAAUUCUUUAAUGACUCAUUCGGCGCCUUACG